Molecule: ribosomal RNA, 460 nt
Filed under: uncultured bacterium
Lineage: Bacteria
Description: partial 16S ribosomal RNA
Rfam family: Bacterial small subunit ribosomal RNA
Source: RNAcentral
CCUACGGGAGGCAGCAGUGAGGAAUAUUGGUCAAUGGACGAGAGUCUGAACCAGCCAAGUAGCGUGAAGGAUGACUGCCCUAUGGGUUGUAAACUUCUUUUAUAAAGGAAUAAAACGAGGCACGUGUGCCUUUUUGCAUGUACUUUAUGAAUAAGGAUCGGCUAACUCCGUGCCAGCAGCCGCGGUAAUACGGAGGAUCCGAGCGUUAUCCGGAUUUAUUGGGUUUAAAGGGAGCGUAGAUGGGUUGUUAAGUCAGUUGUGAAAGUUUGCGGCUCAACCGUAAAAUUGCAAUUGAUACUGGCAGUCGUGAGUACAGUUGAGGUAGGCGGAAUUCGUGGUGUAGCGGUGAAAUGCUUAGAUAUCACGAAGAACCCCGAUUGCGAAGGCAGCUUACUAACCUGUGACUGACAUUGAUGCUCGAAAGUGUGGGUAUCAAACAGGAUUAGAUACCCGAGUAGUC